This 446-nucleotide ribosomal RNA is filed under the name uncultured bacterium. RNAcentral's name for it is "partial 16S ribosomal RNA". It matches the Rfam family "Bacterial small subunit ribosomal RNA", at positions 338 to 795 of the family's 1533-position model. The record is from RNAcentral.
CCUACGGGAGGCAGCAGUCGAGAAUCAUUCACAAUGGGGGAAACCCUGAUGGUGCGACGCCGCGUGGGGGCAUGAAGGUCUUCGGAUUGUAAACCCCUGUCAUGUGGGAGCAAAUUAAAAAGAUAGUACCACAAGAGGAAGCGACGGCUAACUCUGUGCCAGCAGCCGCGGUAAUACAGAGGUCUCAAGCGUUGUUCGGAAUCACUGGGCGUAAGGCGUGCGUAGGCUGUUUCGUAAGUCGUGUGUGAAAGGCGCGGGCUCAACCCGCGGACGGCACAUGAUACUGCGAGACUAGAGUAAUGGAGGGGGAACCGGAAUUCUCGGUGUAGCAGGGAAAUGCGUAGAUAGCGAGAGGAACACUCGUGGCGAAGGCGGGUUCCUGGACAUUAACUGACGCUGAGGCACGAAGGCCAGGGGAGCGAAAGGGAUUAGAUACCCGUGUAGUC